UACGGGGGGGGCAAGCGUUGUUCGGAAUUACUGGGCGUAAAGGGCUCGUAGGCGGCCAACUAAGUCAGACGUGAAAUCCCUCGGCUUAACCGGGGAACUGCGUCUGAUACUGGAUGGCUUGGAUUCGGGAGAGGGAUGCGGAAUUCCAGGUGUAGCGGUGAAAUGCGUAGAUAUCUGGAGGAACACCGGUGGCGAAGGCGGCAUCCUGGACCAAUAUUGACGCUGAGGAGCGAAAGCUAGGGGAGCAAACGGG
This 253-nucleotide ribosomal RNA is filed under the name uncultured bacterium. Its description in RNAcentral is "partial 16S ribosomal RNA". It matches the Rfam family "Bacterial small subunit ribosomal RNA", at positions 524 to 776 of the family's 1533-position model. The record is from RNAcentral.